Molecule: ribosomal RNA, 481 nt
Filed under: uncultured bacterium
Lineage: Bacteria
Description: partial 16S ribosomal RNA
Rfam family: Bacterial small subunit ribosomal RNA
Source: RNAcentral
GACGAACGUUGGCGGCGUGCUUAAUACAUGCAAGUCAACUGAAGCAGUGGUAGCAAUAUCGCUGUGGAGGUGGCGCACGGGUGAGUAACACGUAGGUAAUCUGCCUUCAGGUCUGGCAUAACUCCGGGAAACCGGGGCUAAUAGCAGAUGAUGCAGCGGCUCGACAUCGAGACAGUUGUUAAAGCUAUGGCGCCUGAAGAUGAGCCUGCGUCUGAUUAGCUAGUUGGCGGGGUAACGGCCCUCCAAGGCAACGAUCAGUAGCUGGUCUGAGAGGAUGAUCAGCCACACUGGAACUGAGACACGGUCCAGACUCCUACGGGAGGCAGCAGUAAGGAAUAUUGCUCAAUGGGAGAAAUCCUGAAGCAGCAACGCCGCGUGAGGGACGAAGGGCUUUUGCUUGUAAACCUCUGUAGUGAGAGAAAAAAAUCCCAAUCUUUGGGACAUGAUGGUAUCUCAAAAGUAAGCCCCGGCUAACUACGUG